GAUGAACGCUGGCGGCGUGCCUAAUACAUGCAAGUCGAGCGAACAGACGAGGAGCUUGCUCCUCUGACGUUAGCGGCGGACGGGUGAGUAACACGUGGAUAACCUACCUAUAAGACUGGGAUAACUUCGGGAAACCGGAGCUAAUACCGGAUAAUAUAUUGAACCGCAUGGUUCAAUAGUGAAAGACGGUUUUGCUGUCACUUAUAGAUGGAUCCGCGCCGCAUUAGCUAGUUGGUAUGGUAACGGCUUACCAAGGCAACGAUGGGUAGCCGACCUGAGAGGGUGAUCGGCCACACUGGAACUGAGACACGGUCCAGACUCCUACGGGAGGCAGCAGUAGGGAAUCUUCCGCAAUGGGCGAAAGCCUGACGGAGCAACGCCGCGUGAGUGAUGAAGGUCUUCGGAUCGUAAAACUCUGUUAUUAGGGAAGAACAAAUGUGUAAGUAACUGUGCACGUCUUGACGGUACCUAAUCAGAAAGCCACGGCUAACUACGUG
RNAcentral lists this ribosomal RNA (497 nucleotides) under uncultured bacterium. Its description in RNAcentral is "partial 16S ribosomal RNA". It matches the Rfam family "Bacterial small subunit ribosomal RNA", at positions 28 to 507 of the family's 1533-position model. The record is from RNAcentral.